UACGUAGGGGGCAAGCGUUGUCCGGAUUUAUUGGGCGUAAAGAGCGUGUAGGCGGUCAGGUAGGUCCGUUGUGAAAACUCGAGGCUCAACCUCGAGACGCCGAUGGAAACCAUCUGGCUAGAGUCCGGAAGAGGGGAGUGGAAUUCCUGGUGUAGCGGUGAAAUGCGCAGAUAUCAGGAAGAACACCAACGGCGAAGGCAGCUCGCUGGGACGGAACUGACGCUAAGGCGCGAAAGCGUGGGAGCGAACAGG
RNAcentral lists this ribosomal RNA (252 nucleotides) under uncultured bacterium. Its description in RNAcentral is "partial 16S ribosomal RNA". It matches the Rfam family "Bacterial small subunit ribosomal RNA", at positions 524 to 776 of the family's 1533-position model. The record is from RNAcentral.